GACGAACGCUGGCGGCGUGCUUAACACAUGCAAGUCGAACGGAAAGGCCCUGCUUUUGUGGGGUGCUCGAGUGGCGAACGGGUGAGUAACACGUGAGUAACCUGCCCUUGACUUUGGGAUAACUUCAGGAAACUGGGGCUAAUACCGGAUAGGAGCUCCUGCUGCAUGGUGGGGGUUGGAAAGUUUCGGCGGUUGGGGAUGGACUCGCGGCUUAUCAGCUUGUUGGUGGGGUGGUGGCUUACCAAGGCUUUGACGGGUAGCCGGCCUGGGAGGGUGACCGGCCACAUGAGGCCUGCGGUACGGCGCAGACUGCUACGGGCCGCAGCAGUGGGGAGUAUGACGGAGUGGGGGGAAGCCUGAUGCGGCAGCGCCGCGUGCGUGAUGACGGCCUUCGGGUUGUAAACCGCUUUCGCCUGUAACGAAGCGUGAGUGACGGUAAUGAGUAAGGAAGCACCGGCUAACUACGUG
Molecule: ribosomal RNA, 468 nt
Filed under: uncultured bacterium
Lineage: Bacteria
Description: partial 16S ribosomal RNA
Rfam family: Bacterial small subunit ribosomal RNA
Source: RNAcentral